RNAcentral lists this ribosomal RNA (398 nucleotides) under Salmonella enterica subsp. enterica serovar Kentucky. RNAcentral's name for it is "partial 23S ribosomal RNA". It matches the Rfam family "Bacterial large subunit ribosomal RNA", at positions 1359 to 1757 of the family's 2925-position model. Lineage: Bacteria; Pseudomonadati; Pseudomonadota; Gammaproteobacteria; Enterobacterales; Enterobacteriaceae. The record is from RNAcentral.
CCAACGUUAAUCGGGGCAGGGUGAGUCGACCCCUAAGGCGAGGCCGAAAGGCGUAGUCGAUGGGAAACGGGUUAAUAUUCCCGUACUUGGUGUUACUGCGAAGGGGGGACGGAGAAGGCUAUGUUGGCCGGGCGACGGUUGUCCCGGUUUAAGCGUGUAGGUGUGUGUUCCAGGUAAAUCCGGUUCACUUUAACACUGAGGCGUGAUGACGAGGCACUACGGUGCUGAAGCAACAAAUGCCCUGCUUCCAGGAAAAGCCUCUAAGCAUCAGGUAACAUCAAAUCGUACCCCAAACCGACACAGGUGGUCAGGUAGAGAAUACCAAGGCGCUUGAGAGAACUCGGGUGAAGGAACUAGGCAAAAUGGUGCCGUAACUUCGGGAGAAGGCACGCUGACAC